CUCUUUCAGUUCUCCUGAUCUGCCCCCUGUCUUUCUUAAGAACACCUAGAGGAGGCAGACUCUCCUUAUCUGUGUAUCUCCUUAUCUCCAUAUCUGUGGCUCCCAAGGAUUCUAAGCUGUCACACUAGCCCAUACAUGGUCUUUAAGUAUUUGUUAAAAUUUAGGGGAUUUUCCUCUCACUUUUUGGCUGCUACUCUUCCUCCUGUACUCUGCCCAAAGCAAAAAAGGUCUGUAGGAGCUGUGCUUCUUGGCUUUCUAUAUCCUAAGUGGAACUGGAACUCAUUGAUUGCAUUUUUGUUGUCAACUCUUUUUUUUUUGAGGAAGAUUAGCCCUGAAUUAACUACUGUCAAUCCUCCUCUUUUUGCUGAGGAAGACUGGUCCUGAGCUAACAUCUGUACCCAUCUUCCUCUACUUUAUACAUGGGACACCUACCACAGCAUGGCUUUUGCCAAGCAGUGCCAUGUCCGCACCCAGGGUCUGAACUGGCAAACCCCAGGCUGCCGAGAAGUGGAACAUGUGAACUUAAUCACUGUGCCACUGUGCCGGCCCUGUUGUCAACUCUUGUUACUUGACAGCAAAUUGCUCUGCAAUUUGUUCAGUAGGUUCAAAGAGAUAAAACACAAGAUUGAUAAUUAUGGAAACCUUAAAAAGGAACCGAAUCCCAAACCAAAAACAUAUAGUAGUGGAAAUUAACUCAGUGGAAGUGUUUUAUAGCAAAUAAGACAUCAACGAAGAGAUAUUUAAGAUUAUAAAGAAGAAUAUCUCUAGAAGGAAACAUGGAGAGAAACGAGUUUGGAAAUACAGGUGAGGGAUAAGAGAUACAGGAUGCAGUAAGAAGAUUUGAUAUAAAUGUAUUUAGAGUCCCUGAAGCAAGGGAGAGAGAAAAUGGGACAGAAGCAAUUUUUGAGAAGAUAACAGCUGAGAAUUUUCCACAACUGGUGAAAAACAUUGUCGCGGAUUAAGAAUUUAAAACAAGUCAGAAAAUCUAGGCACGUUCAUAAUAAAUGAAAACCAAAGAGAAAAUCCUUCAAAAUAGCUAGAGAAAAAAGACAUUACCUUGGAAAGAGCAAUAAUUAAACUUAUUGCUGGUUUCUCAAGAGAAAUAAUGAAAGCCAGAAGACAAAUGGAAUAUUUUCAAAGUGCUGAAAGAAAGUAACUGACAAGCUAGAGUUUUAUGCCCAGCAAAAAAUGUUCCUCAAAAUUAAAAGAGAAUUAAAGGCAUUUCUGGACAUAAAGACUGAGAGAUUUAUCAUGAGCAGGCCUGCAUUAAAGGAAAUACUUAAGAUAGUUCUUCAGGCAGAAGUAAAAAGAACCUAGAUGGAAACUCAGAGAUAUAAGAAGAAAAGGUUGAUGAAGAAGGUAAAAAUAUGUGGAUAGAUCUAAAUAAAUAUUGACCAUAUACAAUAAUGUCUGUGGGUUUUUAAAAUAUGUAUAUGUAUAUAUAGAUUGAAAACACAACAAUGGCAUAAAAGUCAAGAGGGGAUUCUUGGAGUUAAAAUGUUUUAAGAUCAUUGCAUUAUCUUGAAAGAAGGUUAUUUCUUUAGGCUGCUCCUGAAAAUAGAAUUGACUGUCAAGUGGGUGUGCACUGGUAAAGGAUUUUGUUUUGUUUUUUGUUUUUUUUUUUGCUUUUUGUCCCCAAAUCCUCCCAGUACACAGUUGUAUAUUUUAGUUGUGGGUCUUUCUAGUUGUGGCAUGUGGGACGCCACCUCAGCAUGGCCUGACGAGCAGUGCCAUGUCCACGUCAAGGAUCCGAAUCGUUGAAACCCUGGGCCGCUGAAGCCGAGCAUGCAAACUUAACCACUCGGCCACAGGGCCGGCCCCGAUUUUGUUAAGUUGGAUUGAAGAUGGUUUCACUGAGGAUUAGCACUCCCCAGCCGAUUCCCCUGAUGGAACAUUUGAAGCAGCAAAUUUCUAUACCUGGGCCACCGCCAGGCAGCAAUAACAACCUUCAGAAGCAAACCUGUUGGUCUCGUCAGCACUCAGAUUGCACUGCUUUUUGUGAAGCCCCCGUGUGCUCUAAUGGUGAUGGAGAUCUCGCCUGCCAUGCAGACCACGGAAGGAAAAUUGGAGGGAGCUUGGGUGUGCGUCUGGAGAAUAGCACUGUGAUGCCUCAGAGCACGCAGUGUGCCAGGCACUGUGUUAGGAGCUGGGAAUUCAGCAGUGAACAAAACUCUCCAAAAUCCUGCCCUUGUGGACUGACCUUCUGGUGGGGAGACAAAUAAUACAUAAGCAGCUGAAGUUUUUGAAGCACUGCACCGGGGUCUGCUCUGUUUACAAGGAGAAGCUCAUUUUCAAACAGUAAACUCAUUUCCUUGGGAAAUUCUUCCUUUUGUACUGAGGAGAAAGGGAAAAAAGAAAAAAUUGGAGUCUUCUGGGAGGCUCUUUGAGGCUGACGAGCGACGCCUCUCAGUGGAGAGAUGGAAGGACUUCUUAGGCCACCUUUACCUGGGACGUGUAGGAGACCAGGCAUCCACGCCUUCUGAGUGUCCGUGAACCCCCUAAAGUUGUACACAAAAUUUGGGGUGCAAAUGUGAUUUUUUUCUGAAAAAAUGGUCCAGAGCUUUCAUCAGGUUCUCAGAGGAUUCUUUGCUCAUAAAAGGUUAAGGUCCACUGGGUUGGGCCUGUGUUUUCUCAAAGUGUUUGAAGUCAGAAGAUGACCUGCAACAGGACCACUGGGGGAGCUGGUUAAAAAUUCAUAUUCUGGGGCCCCACCCCCAGUCUUCUGAAUUAGAAUCUCUAGGGGGAUGGCCUGGGACUCUGAAUCUUUAACUACUUCUCUGAUUUGGUUAUUUGGUGAAAUUUCUGAAUUAGCUAGGUUUCAAAUGUUUAACAUCACCUGUUAGAAUAAGAUCAACAAUCACAGUGUAGGGAAGUACUUACAUUUACCCAAAUAGGCCAGCUCAACUACUUACUAGCUGUGUAACCUUGGCAAACUGUGAAUCUCUCUGAGCCUUAGUUCCCUCAUCUGCAAAUAAGGGGCCACGUAAUUUGUCUGUUUUGAGAUGAUAUUGCCUAAUACAUUGUAGGAGUCCAAGAAAUAUUAUUUACUAUUCAUAGCUUCUCUUAAACACCAAGUAUUCUCCAAACUCUCCAGGUCUAAUGUUUCUUUUUUUGAGUGCUUUAUGAGGCUUUUUUUCAUAAAGGGAUUGUCAAAAAAUGAAACAAAACAGAUUAAUCAUUUUCUACAAUGAUCCACUAGCCAUGUGUAAAGGGGUUUUGUUAUGCCGUCAAAUAUGCCUGAACUGUAAACUAUAAACUGAAAUUUUGUCUCAACCUAACAGAAAAAUUAGCAACAUUUCUAUUCUGCAGGUUCUACCAUAGUGAUUUUAGCAAAUGGAAAGCAUAAAUACCAGAACUGACCAAUAAGGACAAAGUCUUCCGUGCUUAAUAAUCACAGUAUUGACAGUGUUUGAUUUAAUUGAAAAUCUACUCACUAGUACAUCUUCAGGAGCAAACAGCAAAAAGGAGAAAAAAAGAAAUGCCUAUUUUUGUAAAACCAGUUGUAAAAUCCUGCUUGGUAUGAACAUGCUCCCUGACCCCACCCCCAUGCACACACACUGGCUUGUUUUGAGCAAAUUCCUCCCUUCUGGUGAUUUUGCAACUCUAUUCUACCACAGCUGUAUGUUUUCUACGAUUGGAAAGGCAUUUGCACAAAUGUUCAUUCUUACAUACCAAGGAAUAUUUACCCUGGUUCGUGAUGUAAGCAGAAAAUCUGAAGGAAAUACGAUGCCUAAAUAAAAACAGCAAACUCUUCUAAUUCAUCUUCCCAUUUCAUUCACUAAAGAAUCUAGGAAUUUAUCUCUGGUGCCUUUUUUGAGGUUAGACAUUUAUUUUUGUCACUGGUGGAAGACUUGUUUCGAGCAUAAAAAAUUGUGGUUCUGUGAAGAACUGGUAUUCAAGAGGGAGAAUGCAGCGGUCUGCUUACCUUAAAUUUAUCAUCUUAUUCUUAAAUCUAUUUAUCAAAAUUUUCUUGAAUAGGAUAAGCUCAGGUUUUGCAUUCUUUGAUUGCCAUCUGCUGGUGGUCCUCCAUACGAGGAAAUAAAAAUUCCCAGGAAGACUGCAACAACCUGGUUAUUGCUUGAUUUAGGUAGCUCUUGCAACCUCUGAAAGAACGAUAUUUUUAAUGCCCACGAUGAUAGAAG
This 4142-nucleotide long non-coding RNA is filed under the name Equus asinus (donkey). Its description in RNAcentral is "lncRNA (ENSEASG00005026868.1)". Lineage: Eukaryota; Metazoa; Chordata; Mammalia; Perissodactyla; Equidae. The record is from RNAcentral.